CCUACGGGAGGCAGCAGUGAGGAAUAUUGGUCAAUGGCCGGAAGGCUGAACCAGCCAUGCCGCGUGAAGGUCAGUGCCCUAUGGGCGUUAAACUUCUUUUGUGCGGGAGCAAUAAUGGUCACGUGUGGCCAGACGAGAGUACCGUACGAAUAAGCAUCGGCUAACUCCGUGCCAGCAGCCGCGGGAAUACGGGUGAUGCAAGCGUUAUCCGGAUUUAUUGGGUUUAAAGGGUGCGUAAGCUGUGAGGUAAGUCAGCGGUGAAAUGCCCCGGCUCAACGGGGUGAAGUGCCAUUGAUACUGCCGUGCUGGAAUGCGGAUGACGUGGGAGGAAUGUGUGGUGUAGCGGUGAAAUGCAUAGAUAUCACACAGAACACCGAUUGCGAAGGCAUCUCACGAAUCCGCGAUUGACGCUGAUGCACGAAAGCGUGGGUAUCAAACAGGAUUAGAUACCCCUGUAGUC
This 460-nucleotide ribosomal RNA is filed under the name uncultured bacterium. RNAcentral describes it as "partial 16S ribosomal RNA". It matches the Rfam family "Bacterial small subunit ribosomal RNA", at positions 338 to 795 of the family's 1533-position model. The record is from RNAcentral.